GACGAACGCUGGCGGCGUGCUUAACACAUGCAAGUCGAACGGAAAGGCCCUGCUUUUGUGGUGUGCCCGACGGGCGAACGGGUGAGUAACACGUGAGUAACCUGCCCUUGGCUUUGGGAUAACUUCCGGAAACCUGGGCUAAUACCGGACAUUACCGCCUGCUCCACGGUGGGGGUUGCAUCGUCUCGGCGCUUGGGCCUGGACUCGCGGCUUCUCGGCUUGUUGGUGGGGUAGUGGCUUACCAAGGCUUUGGCGGGUAGCCGGCCCGGGAGGGUUGACGGCCACCUUGCGACUGAGGUCGGGCCCAGGCUCCUACGGGCGGCAGCAGGGCGGAACCUUGCACCAUGGCCGGAAGCCUGAUGCAGCAGCGCGGCGCGCGGGCUGAGGGCCUUCGGGUUGUAAACCGCUCUCGCAUGUGACGAAGCGUGAGUGACGGUAAUGGGUAAAGAAGCACCGGCUAACUCCGUG
This 468-nucleotide ribosomal RNA is filed under the name uncultured bacterium. RNAcentral describes it as "partial 16S ribosomal RNA". It matches the Rfam family "Bacterial small subunit ribosomal RNA", at positions 28 to 507 of the family's 1533-position model. The record is from RNAcentral.